Solanum verrucosum is the source of this 1782-nucleotide RNA transcript. It is a transcript of the gene named auxin-induced protein PCNT115-like, with no coding region annotated. The transcript has 8 exons. The record is from RefSeq and is a predicted model, not a curated record. NCBI's taxonomy places the organism in Eukaryota, Viridiplantae, Streptophyta, Magnoliopsida, Solanales, Solanaceae.
UGGCCAAAGAAGGAAAAAAUAUGGGAAGAAUUAAAUUGGGUUCAGAGGGACUUGAAGUAUCUGUUCAAGGACUUGGUUGUCUGAGUAUGUCCGAUUUCUACGGGCCGCCUAAACCCGAACCCGAUAUGAUUGAACUAAUACACCAUGCCAUUAACUCCGGCAUAACAUUUUUCGAUACUUCUAAUAGUUAUGGGCCUUACACUAACGAAAUCCUCCUUGGCAAGGCUUUGAAGGGAGGAAUGAGGGAGCGAGUCGAGUUAGCAACAAAAUUUGGUAUACAUUUUGCAGAUGGAAAGAGAGAAGUACGUGGAGAGCCAGCCUAUGUAAGGGCAGCAUGCGAGGCUAGCUUAAAGAGACUUGAUGUUGAUUGCAUAGACUUGUACUACCAGCACCGGAUUGAUACACGCGUGCCCAUUGAAGUAACGGUUGGAGAACUUAAGAAGCUAGUUGAAGAGGGGAAAAUAAAAUAUAUAGGUCUAUCGGAGGCUUCAGCAUCAACAAUUAGAAGAGCACAUGCUGUUCAUCCAAUAACAGCAGUACAAUUAGAAUGGUCUCUAUGGUCGAGAGAUGUAGAGGAAGAAAUAAUCCCUACUUGCAGAGAGCUCGGAAUUGGGAUUGUAGCAUACAGUCCACUAGGCCGGGGCUUUUUGUCAUCCGGUCCAAAGCUGGUUGAGGACUUGACAAAUGAAGAUUUCCGAAAGCAUCUACCGAGGUUUCAGGGCGAAAAUCUUGAGCAUAACAAAAAAUUUUACGAGAGGAUUUGUCAAAUGGCAGCUAAGAAGGGAUGCACCCCGUCUCAACUCGCGUUGGCCUGGGUGCAUCACCAAGGAAACGACGUGUGCCCCAUCCCGGGCACCACUAAGAUUGAAAACUUCAAUCAGAACAUUGGAGCUCUGUCCAUAAAGCUAACAUCAGAAGACAUGGCAGAGCUUGAAUCUAUUGCUUCAGCUAAUGCAGUCCAGGGUGAUAGGUACGGUUCGGUUGCGCCUACCUACAAAGAUUCAGAAACUCCACCCCUUUCAGCAUGGAAGGCUACAUAAAUGAUGAAGGGUAAAAUUAAAUAUAUAGGUCUAUCCGAGGCUUCAGCAUCAACAAUUAGAAGAGCACAUGCUGUUCAUCCAAUAACAGCGGUACAAUUAGAAUGGUCUCUAUGGUCGAGAGAUGUAGAGGAAGAAAUAGUCCCUACUUGCAGAGAACUUGGAAUCGGGAUUGUAGCAUACAGUCCACUAGGGCGUGGAUUUUUGUCAUCCGGACCAAAGCUUCUUGAGGACUGCUCAAAUGAAGAUUUCCGAAAGUAUCUACCGAGGUUCCAGGGCGAGAAUCUUGAGCAUAACAAAAAACUGUAUGAGAGGAUUUGUGAAAUGGCAGCUAAGAAGGGAUGCACCCCGUCUCAACUCGCGUUGGCCUGGGUACAUCACCAAGGAAACGACGUGUGUCCCAUCCCGGGCACCACUAAGAUUGAAAACUUCAAUCAGAACAUUGGAGCUCUGUCCAUAAAGCUAACAUCAGAAGACAUGGCAGAGCUUGAAUCCAUUGCUUCAGCUAAUGCAGUCCAGGGUGAUAGGUACGGUUCGGCUGCGGCUACCUACAAAGAUUCAGAAACUCCACCCCUUUCAGCAUGGAAGGCUACAUAAAUGAUGAGUUAUUCUUGUGUUGUGAAAUGUAUCGAAUGAGAAACUUUAUUUUUUUUCUGUUUCAAAACUAUUGUGCUACUUGCUGUUGUUUCAAAUAAUAAAUUAUGUGUCCAAACAUAAUUUGAACUUGCAACUUUUAAGUUUGAAC